Molecule: ribosomal RNA, 487 nt
Filed under: uncultured soil bacterium
Lineage: Bacteria
Description: bacterial SSU rRNA
Rfam family: Bacterial small subunit ribosomal RNA
Source: RNAcentral
AGAUUGAACGCUGGCGGCAGGCCUAACACAUGCAAGUCGAGCGGCAGCACGGGUACUUGUACCUGGUGGCGAGCGGCGGACGGGUGAGUAAUGCCUAGGAAUCUGCCUGGUAGUGGGGGGAUAACGCUCGGAAACGGACGCUAAUACCGCAUACGUCCUACGGGAGAAGGCAGGGGACCUUCGGGCCUUGCGCUAUCAGAUGAGCCUAGGUCGGAUUAGCUAGUUGGUGGGGUAAUGGCUCACCAAGGCGACGAUCCGUAACUGGUCUGAGAGGAUGAUCAGUCACACUGGAACUGAGACACGGUCCAGACUCCUACGGGAGCAGCAGUGGGGAAUAUUGGACAAUGGGCGAAAGCCUGAUCCAGCCAUGCCGCGUGUGUGAAGAAGGUCUUCGGAUUGAAAGCACGUUUAAGUGGAGAAGGCAGUUACCAGUACGUAUCUGUUUGACGUUACGACAGAAUAAGCACGCUAACUCUGUGCCAGCACG